CCUACGGGGGGCAGCAGUGGGGAAUAUUGGACAAUGGGGGGAACCCUGAUCCAGCCAUGCCGCGUGUGUGAAGAAGGCCCUCGGGUUGUAAAGCACUUUCAGUGAGGAAGAACGCCUGGUGGUUAAUACCCAUCAGGAAAGACAUCACUCACAGAAGAAGCACCGGCUAACUCCGUGCCAGCAGCCGCGGUAAUACGGAGGGUGCGAGCGUUAAUCGGAAUUACUGGGCGUAAAGCGCGCGUAGGUGGCUUGAUAAGCCGGUUGUGAAAGCCCCGGGCUCAACCUGGGAACGGCAUCCGGAGCUGUCAAGCUAGAGUGCAGGAGAGGAAGGUAGAAUUCCCGGUGUAGCGGUGAAAUGCGUAGAGAUCGGGAGGAAUAACAGUGGCGAAGGCGGCCUUCUGGACUGACACUGACACUGAGGUGCGAAAGCGUGGGUAGCAAACAGGAUUAGAUACCCCUGUAGUC
Molecule: ribosomal RNA, 465 nt
Filed under: Vreelandella stevensii
Lineage: Bacteria; Pseudomonadati; Pseudomonadota; Gammaproteobacteria; Oceanospirillales; Halomonadaceae
Description: partial 16S ribosomal RNA
Rfam family: Bacterial small subunit ribosomal RNA
Source: RNAcentral